CUGCACACUCACUCCACCGUCCCCGCUAGGCAUAUCUCCCCGCCGUUCCCCAUUCUCGUGGUCGCUAGCUACCCAUGUCCACCUCGUCAAGCCGGCCCGCGCCACGCCAAGCUGCUUCUACCGCCGGCGCCGCGCCCAGCUGCAGCCGCCGCCGCCAAAUCUCCGCGAGCGGGAUGCGGAGGCGUGGGAUUCGCCCCUCCCUCCUCCUGGAGACGACGGAGCGCUCGAGCUCGGCAUGCUCGCCGGCGACGCCGGGGCCCUCCCUCGUCCUGAUGCACUCUUCGUCGCCGCCAUGAGGCUAUUCACCUCCCCCCUGCUCGGGACGCCAUGAAGGUCAAAGGAAGAUGUUGAACCUAAAGAAGUGCAGGGAAGAAUUACAGCUGCGUGUAUCCGGCUGGCUCAAGGUGUAUCUGGCUGGUUCAAGGGACGUGCAGGGCUCCUGGCACUGGGGAUCUCGCGGACGGAUGCCACACUGCGAGGGCAGGGUCCUGGGUGUUCCGUCGCCUGGCCUCCCUGCUCUGGCGACCUCGCGUAUGGAUGCCACGCUGCUCGCGGCAACAAUCCGCGAUGGCGAUGGCGAUGGUGCGACGUGCUGGUGCAGUGCCGCGAGGUCGGCGUGCAGGAUACAGUGUUGGUGGGCGGCAUCGAGGAUAAGGGCGAUGGGAUCUGAUUUCGUUAGUUUCCUUAGUUUCCGAUGACAACGGCGUGAAUGUAGGGGACGAACGCGGGAUUGCUAUUUUUGUGCUGGUGGAUGGAUGCGUGAUUGUAGGGGACGGACGCGGGACUGGUAUUUCUGUGCUGGUGGAUGGAUGGUGGAGGUGGAGCACGGUCAGUCUAGGAAAAUUGCUACGUGCACACGUUAGAGGUAUUAGAUGAAAGAUGGCUGUUAGAUUAGAUUCGUGGGACUAAUUGUGUGGUGCUGAUUGGCUAGUGCGUUUUGUGGGACUAAUUGUUGAGUGCACGUAAGGAAAUUCUUGUUUGA
This is a long non-coding RNA of Triticum dicoccoides, 982 nucleotides long. RefSeq lists it as uncharacterized. Lineage: Eukaryota; Viridiplantae; Streptophyta; Magnoliopsida; Poales; Poaceae. The transcript has 2 exons. The record is from RefSeq and is a predicted model, not a curated record.